AUGACGGAAGGGCACCACCAGGAGUGGAGCCUGCGGCUUAAUUUGACUCAACACGGGGAAACUCACCAGGUCCAGACACAAUAAGGAUUGACAGAUUGAGAGCUCUUUCUUGAUUUUGUGGGUGGUGGUGCAUGGCCGUUCUUAGUUGGUGGAGUGAUUUGUCUGCUUAAUUGCGAUAACGAACGAGACCUUAACCCUUAAAUAGAGCCGCCAGCAUUCUUUUUUUGUUGGUUUUUUCCUUUGGUUCUUCUUAGGGGGACUAUCGGCUUCAAGUCGAUGGAAGUUUGAGGCAAUAACAGGUCUGUGAUGCCCUUAGACGUUCUGGGCCGCACGCGCGCUACACUGACGGAGCCAGCGAGUUUACAUCUUCCUAGGCCGAGAGGUCCGGGCAAUCUUGUGAAACUCCGUCGUGCUGGGGAUAGAGCAUUGCAAUUUUUGCUCUUCAACGAGGAAUUCCUAGUAAGCGUAAGUCACCAACUUGCGUUGAUUACGUCCCUGCCCUUUGUACACACCGCCCGUCGCUACUACCGAUUGAAUGGCUUAGUGAGGCCUCCGGAUCUGCCCACGGCGAGGGCAACCUCGCCCGCGGCGGAGAAGUUCGUCAAACUUGGUCAUUUAGAGNAA
Molecule: ribosomal RNA, 624 nt
Filed under: Clavispora sp.
Lineage: Eukaryota; Fungi; Ascomycota; Pichiomycetes; Serinales; Metschnikowiaceae
Description: SSU rRNA
Rfam family: Eukaryotic small subunit ribosomal RNA
Source: RNAcentral